Molecule: long non-coding RNA, 450 nt
Organism: Saccoglossus kowalevskii
Lineage: Eukaryota; Metazoa; Hemichordata; Enteropneusta; Harrimaniidae
Source: RefSeq, a predicted model, not a curated record
GGUCAUUAACCUGUCGAUUAACUCAGUGACACCCGACAUCCUAGAUGCAUUUAGCAAACUUAUAAUACGGAACGUCUUAAAGAAACGAAUUCCUAUUGUUUCAUCUGCGGGUAAUAACAAUGAUGAUGCGGGGAAUUAUUAUCCUGCAGACUCCGGUAUGGUGAUGGUGGUUGGAGCUACUGACGAAAAUGAUAAGAGGGCGCCCGAUUCUAAUUUCGGCCCAUCUAUCGAUUUCUUCGCCCCGGGAGUGAAUAUUGAGACUGCAGGUAUUGGGUCAGACACAGAGACUGUAACAACAUCCGGUACAUCAAUGGCGGCAGCCUUUGUCUCAGGUCUAGCCGGACUAGUCAAAACACAAGUUCCAGGAUCAACCCAGGAAGAAGUGGCCCAUAGAAUUGGAUACUAUACCACGAAGGAUGUUGUAGAUGACGUAAAUGGCUCCCCAAACAG